This 21-nucleotide non-coding RNA is filed under the name Caenorhabditis elegans. The record is from RNAcentral. Lineage: Eukaryota; Metazoa; Nematoda; Chromadorea; Rhabditida; Rhabditidae.
UCAAGUGGUGUCGUGAAAUUA